UAUACAUAGGUGUUGUGCAUAAAAGAUUUUGAAUCUUUAGGGGUAAGUAUUUUUAUAAUGUAUAA
Molecule: transfer RNA, 65 nt
Filed under: Campodea fragilis
Lineage: Eukaryota; Metazoa; Arthropoda; Diplura; Rhabdura; Campodeidae
Description: tRNA-Gln
Source: RNAcentral